GCUCAGAGCGAACGCUGGCGGCAGGCUUAACACAUGCAAGUCGAGCGGGCCCUUCGGGGUCAGCGGCAGACGGGUGAGUAACGCGUGGGAACGUGCCCUUCGGUUCGGAAUAACUCAGGGAAACUUGAGCUAAUACCGGAUACGCCCUUUUGGGGAAAGGCUUGACUGCCGAAGGAUCGGCCCGCGUCUGAUUAGCUAGUUGGUGAGGUUAUGGCUCACCAAGGCGACGAUCAGUAGCUGGUCUGAGAGGAUGAUCAGCCACACUGGGACUGAGACACGGCCCAGACUCCUACGGGAGGCAGCAGUGGGGAAUAUUGGACAAUGGGGGCAACCCUGAUCCAGCCAUGCCGCGUGAGUGAUGACGGCCUUAGGGUUGUAAAGCUCUUUUCUCCGGGACGAUAAUGACGGUACCGGAGGAAUAAGCCCCGGCUAACUUCGUGCCAGCAGCCGCGGUAAUACGAAGGGGGCUAGCGUUGCUCGGAAUCACUGGGCGUAAAGGGCGCGUANGCGGCUGAUUUACUCGAGGGUGAAAGCCCGUGGCUCAACCACGGAAUGGCCUUCGAUACUGGUUGGCUUGUCGACGGAAGAGGACACCGGAACUGGCAGUGUAAAGGUGAAAUUC
This 622-nucleotide ribosomal RNA is filed under the name uncultured bacterium. RNAcentral describes it as "bacterial SSU rRNA". It matches the Rfam family "Bacterial small subunit ribosomal RNA", at positions 22 to 689 of the family's 1533-position model. The record is from RNAcentral.